UUGGACAGCGGCGCGGCCCCGCUUUGCGGGGGCGUGAGGAAAGUCCGGGCUUCACAGGGCGGGAUACCUGCUAACGGCAGGCCGGGGCGACCCGAGGGAAAGUGCAACAGAAAGAUACCGCCAUCGCAUCACGGGGGCUUCCCCCGCGGACGGUGGUAAGGAUGGAAAGGCGAGGUAAGAGCUCACCGGGACGCGGGUAACCGCGCCGCCAUGUAAACCCUAUCCGAAGCAACGCCAGCUGGGACGAUGCGGCGGCCCGCCGGGUCCCGAAAGGCGGCUUGAGCCGCGCGGCGACGCGCGGCCCAGAAAGAUCGUUGUCCACGACAGAACCCGGCUUACAGACGCCCUC
Molecule: RNase P RNA, 349 nt
Filed under: Anaerotruncus massiliensis (ex Togo et al. 2026)
Lineage: Bacteria; Bacillati; Bacillota; Clostridia; Eubacteriales; Oscillospiraceae
Description: Bacterial RNase P class A
Rfam family: Bacterial RNase P class A
About the family: Ribonuclease P (RNase P) is a ubiquitous endoribonuclease, found in archaea, bacteria and eukarya as well as chloroplasts and mitochondria. Its best characterised activity is the generation of mature 5'-ends of tRNAs by cleaving the 5'-leader elements of precursor-tRNAs.
Source: RNAcentral